This is a long non-coding RNA of Cyprinus carpio (common carp), 194 nucleotides long. The record is from Ensembl. NCBI's taxonomy places the organism in Eukaryota, Metazoa, Chordata, Actinopteri, Cypriniformes, Cyprinidae.
AGCUGAUUUCAUCUCGGUGGGGAAUGUCUUCCUAUCUCUGGCCUGUCACUUAGAUACCACCGGAACGAUGGUUGGAGAAGGGAGGAGAGCCUAUGGUUCAAUAGGUCAUAUCUGAGGACACUUUCACCUUCAGUAUGAAAGCAGAGCAUUUCCAGUUCCACCACGGCUAAAACGGCAUGAUACAAAUCCUGCAC